CACGCGGUAAACGAUGAUCACUCGCUGUUAGCGAUACACAGUUAGCGGCUAAGCAAAAGCAUUAAGUGAUCCACCUGGGGAGUACGGCCGCAAGGCUGAAACUCAAAGGAAUUGACGGGGGCCCGCACAAGCGGAGGAACAUGUGGUUUAAUUCGAUGAUACGCGAGGAACCUUACCUGGGCUUAAAUGUAGAGUGCAUGGGGUAGAAAUAUCCCUUUCCUUCGGGACUCUUUGCAAGGUGCUGCAUGGUUGUCGUCAGCUCGUGCCGUGAGGUGUCGGGUUAAGUCCCAUAACGAGCGCAACCCUUAUCGUUAGUUGCCAGCGGGUAAUGCCGGGAACUCUAACGAAACUGCCGGUGUAAACCGU
Molecule: ribosomal RNA, 366 nt
Filed under: uncultured bacterium
Lineage: Bacteria
Description: bacterial SSU rRNA
Rfam family: Bacterial small subunit ribosomal RNA
Source: RNAcentral